UACGUAGGGGGCGAGCGUUGUCCGGAUUCAUUGGGCGUAAAGAGCUCGUAGGCGGCUUGUCACGUCGGAUGUGAAAGCCCGAGGCUUAACCUCGGGUCUGCAUUCGAUACGGGCUAGCUAGAGUGUGGUAGGGGAGAUCGGAAUUCCUGGUGUAGCGGUGAAAUGCGCAGAUAUCAGGAGGAACACCGGUGGCGAAGGCGGAUCUCUGGGCCAUUACUGACGCUGAGGAGCGAAAGCGUGGGGAGCGAACAGG
This 253-nucleotide ribosomal RNA is filed under the name uncultured bacterium. Its description in RNAcentral is "partial 16S ribosomal RNA". It matches the Rfam family "Bacterial small subunit ribosomal RNA", at positions 524 to 776 of the family's 1533-position model. The record is from RNAcentral.